UUAAGCGACUAAGCGUACACGGUGGAUGCCCUGGCAGUCAGAGGCGAUGAAGGACGUGCUAAUCUGCGAUAAGCGUCGGUAAGGUGAUAUGAACCGUUAUAACCGGCGAUUUCCGAAUGGGGAAACCCAGUGUGUUUCGACACACUAUCAUUAACUGAAUCCAUAGGUUAAUGAGGCGAACCGGGGGAACUGAAACAUCUAAGUACCCCGAGGAAAAGAAAUCAACCGAGAUUCCCCCAGUAGCGGCGAGCGAACGGGGAGCAGCCCAGAGCCUGAAUCAGUGUGUGUGUUAGUGGAAGCGUCUGGAAAGGCGCGCGAUACAGGGUGACAGCCCCGUACACAAAAAUGCACAUACUGUGAGCUCGAUGAGUAGGGCGGGACACGUGGUAUCCUGUCUGAAUAUGGGGGGACCAUCCUCCAAGGCUAAAUACUCCUGACUGACCGAUAGUGAACCAGUACCGUGAGGGAAAGGCGAAAAGAACCCCGGCGAGGGGAGUGAAAAAGAACCUGAAACCGUGUACGUACAAGCAGUGGGAGCCUCCUUUAUGGGGUGACUGCGUACCUUUUGUAUAAUGGGUCAGCGACUUAUAUUCUGUAGCAAGGUUAACCGAAUAGGGGAGCCGAAGGGAAACCGAGUCUUAACCGGGCGUUAAGUUGCAGGGUAUAGACCCGAAACCCGGUGAUCUAGCCAUGGGCAGGUUGAAGGUUGGGUAACACUAACUGGAGGACCGAACCGACUAAUGUUGAAAAAUUAGCGGAUGACUUGUGGCUGGGGGUGAAAGGCCAAUCAAACCGGGAGAUAGCUGGUUCUCCCCGAAAGCUAUUUAGGUAGCGCCUCGUGAAUUCAUCUCCGGGGGUAGAGCACUGUUUCGGCAAGGGGGUCAUCCCGACUUACCAACCCGAUGCAAACUGCGAAUACCGGAGAAUGUUAUCACGGGAGACACACGGCGGGUGCUAACGUCCGUCGUGAAGAGGGAAACAACCCAGACCGCCAGCUAAGGUCCCAAAGUCAUGGUUAAGUGGGAAACGAUGUGGGAAGGCCCAGACAGCCAGGAUGUUGGCUUAGAAGCAGCCAUCAUUUAAAGAAAGCGUAAUAGCUCACUGGUCGAGUCGGCCUGCGCGGAAGAUGUAACGGGGCUAAACAAUGCACCGAAGCUGCGGCAGCGACACUGUGUGUUGUUGGGUAGGGGAGCGUUCUGUAAGCCUGUGAAGGUGUACUGUAAGGUAUGCUGGAGGUAUCAGAAGUGCGAAUGCUGACAUAAGUAACGAUAAAGCGGGUGAAAAGCCCGCUCGCCGGAAGACCAAGGGUUCCUGUCCAACGUUAAUCGGGGCAGGGUGAGUCGACCCCUAAGGCGAGGCCGAAAGGCGUAGUCGAUGGGAAACAGGUUAAUAUUCCUGUACUUGGUGUUACUGCGAAGGGGGGACGGAGAAGGCUAUGUUGGCCGGGCGACGGUUGUCCCGGUUUAAGCGUGUAGGCUGGUUUUCCAGGCAAAUCCGGAAAAUCAAGGCUGAGGCGUGAUGACGAGGCACUACGGUGCUGAAGCAACAAAUGCCCUGCUUCCAGGAAAAGCCUCUAAGCAUCAGGUAACAUCAAAUCGUACCCCAAACCGACACAGGUGGUCAGGUAGAGAAUACCAAGGCGCUUGAGAGAACUCGGGUGAAGGAACUAGGCAAAAUGGUGCCGUAACUUCGGGAGAAGGCACGCUGAUAUGUAGGUGAAGUCCCUCGCGGAUGGAGCUGAAAUCAGUCGAAGAUACCAGCUGGCUGCAACUGUUUAUUAAAAACACAGCACUGUGCAAACACGAAAGUGGACGUAUACGGUGUGACGCCUGCCCGGUGCCGGAAGGUUAAUUGAUGGGGUCAGCGCAAGCGAAGCUCUUGAUCGAAGCCCCGGUAAACGGCGGCCGUAACUAUAACGGUCCAAGGUAGCGAAAUUCCUUGUCGGGUAAGUUCCGACCUGCAGAAUGGCGUAAUGAUGGCCAGGCUGUCUCCACCCGAGACUCAGUGAAAUUGAACUCGCUGUGAAGAUGCAGUGUACCCGCGGCAAGACGGAAAGACCCCGUGAACCUUUACUAUAGCUUGACACUGAACAUUGAGCCUUGAUGUGUAGGAUAGGUGGGAGGCUUUGAAGUGUGGACGCCAGUCUGCAUGGAGCCGACCUUGAAAUACCACCCUUUAAUGUUUGAUGUUCUAACGUGGACCCGUGAUCCGGGUUGCGGACAGUGUCUGGUGGGUAGUUUGACUGGGGCGGUCUCCUCCUAAAGAGUAACGGAGGAGCACGAAGGUUGGCUAAUCCUGGUCGGACAUCAGGAGGUUAGUGCAAUGGCAUAAGCCAGCUUGACUGCGAGCGUGACGGCGCGAGCAGGUGCGAAAGCAGGUCAUAGUGAUCCGGUGGUUCUGAAUGGAAGGGCCAUCGCUCAACGGAUAAAAGGUACUCCGGGGAUAACAGGCUGAUACCGCCCAAGAGUUCAUAUCGACGGCGGUGUUUGGCACCUCGAUGUCGGCUCAUCACAUCCUGGGGCUGAAGUAGGUCCCAAGGGUAUGGCUGUUCGCCAUUUAAAGUGGUACGCGAGCUGGGUUUAGAACGUCGUGAGACAGUUCGGUCCCUAUCUGCCGUGGGCGCUGGAGAACUGAGGGGGGCUGCUCCUAGUACGAGAGGACCGGAGUGGACGCAUCACUGGUGUUCGGGUUGUCAUGCCAAUGGCACUGCCCGGUAGCUAAAUGCGGAAGAGAUAAGUGCUGAAAGCAUCUAAGCACGAAACUUGCCCCGAGAUGAGUUCUCCCUGACCCUUUAAGGGUCCUGAAGGAACGUUGAAGACGACGACGUUGAUAGGCCGGGUGUGUAAGCGCAGCGAUGCGUU
Molecule: ribosomal RNA, 2861 nt
Filed under: Escherichia coli 09BKT076207
Lineage: Bacteria; Pseudomonadati; Pseudomonadota; Gammaproteobacteria; Enterobacterales; Enterobacteriaceae
Description: bacterial LSU rRNA
Rfam family: Bacterial large subunit ribosomal RNA
Source: RNAcentral